GACGAACGCUGGCGGCGUGCCUAAUACAUGCAAGUAGAACGCUGAAGCUUGGUGCUUGCACCGAGCGGAUGAGUUGCGAACGGGUGAGUAACGCGUAGGUAACCUGCCUGGUAGCGGGGGAUAACUAUUGGAAACGAUAGCUAAUACCGCAUAAGAGUAGAUGUUGCAUGACAUUUGCUUAAAAGGUGCAAUUGCAUCACUACCAGAUGGACCUGCGUUGUAUUAGCUAGUUGGUGAGGUAACGGCUCACCAAGGCGACGAUACAUAGCCGACCUGAGAGGGUGAUCGGCCACACUGGGACUGAGACACGGCCCAGACUCCUACGGGAGGCAGCAGUAGGGAAUCUUCGGCAAUGGACGGAAGUCUGACCGAGCAACGCCGCGUGAGUGAAGAAGGUUUUCGGAUCGUAAAGCUCUGUUGUAAGAGAAGAACGAGUGUGAGAGUGGAAAGUUUCA
This 455-nucleotide ribosomal RNA is filed under the name Streptococcus sp. oral taxon C08. RNAcentral's name for it is "bacterial SSU rRNA". It matches the Rfam family "Bacterial small subunit ribosomal RNA", at positions 28 to 466 of the family's 1533-position model. Lineage: Bacteria; Bacillati; Bacillota; Bacilli; Lactobacillales; Streptococcaceae. The record is from RNAcentral.